GAUGAACGCUGGCGGCGUGCCUAAUACAUGCAAGUCGAGCGAAUGGAUUAAGAGCUUGCUCUUAUGAAGUUAGCGGCGGACGGGUGAGUAACACGUGGGUAACCUGCCCAUAAGACUGGGAUAACUCCGGGAAACCGGGGCUAAUACCGGAUAACAUUUUGAACCGCAUGGUUCGAAAUUGAAAGGCGGCUUCGGCUGUCACUUAUGGAUGGACCCGCGUCGCAUUAGCUAGUUGGUGAGGUAACGGCUCGCCAAGGCAACGAUGCGUAGCCGACCUGGGAGGGUGAUCGGCCACGCUGGGACUGAGACACGGCCCAGACUCCUACGGGAGGCAGCAGUAGGGAAUCUUCCGCAAUGGACGAAAGUAUGACGGAGCAACGCCGCGUGAGUGAUGAAGGCUUUCGGGUCGUAAAACUCUGUUGUUAGGGAAGAACAAGUGCUAGUUGAAUAAGCUGGCACCUUGACGGUACCUAACCAGAAAGCCACGGCUAACUACGUGCCAGCAGCCGCCGUAA
RNAcentral lists this ribosomal RNA (515 nucleotides) under uncultured bacterium. RNAcentral describes it as "partial 16S ribosomal RNA". It matches the Rfam family "Bacterial small subunit ribosomal RNA", at positions 28 to 523 of the family's 1533-position model. The record is from RNAcentral.